Molecule: ribosomal RNA, 230 nt
Filed under: uncultured bacterium
Lineage: Bacteria
Description: partial 16S ribosomal RNA
Rfam family: Bacterial small subunit ribosomal RNA
Source: RNAcentral
GAUCCUGGCUCAGGAUGAACGCUAGCUACAGGCUUAACACAUGCAAGUCGAGGGGCAGCAUGGUCUUAGCUUGCUAAGGCCGAUGGCGACCGGCGCACGGGUGAGUAACACGUAUCCAACCUGCCGUCUACUCUUGGAACAGCCUUCUGAAAGGAAGAUUAAUACAAGAUGGCAUCAUGAGUCCGCAUGUUCACAUGAUUAAAGGUAUUCCGGUAGACGAUGGGGAUGCG